GAUGAACGCUAGCUACAGGCUUAACACAUGCAAGUCGAGGGGCAGCAUGAACUUAGCUUGCUAAGUUUGAUGGCGACCGGCGCACGGGUGAGUAACACGUAUCCAACCUGCCGAUUAUUCCGGGAUAGCCUUUCGAAAGAAAGAUUAAUACUGGAUAGCAUAACGAGAAGGCAUCUUCUUGUUAUUAAAGAAUUUCGAUAAUCGAUGGGGAUGCGUUCCAUUAGUUUGUUGGCGGGGUAACGGCCCACCAAGACAUCGAUGGAUAGGGGUUCUGAGAGGAAGGUCCCCCACAUUGGAACUGAGACACGGUCCAA
RNAcentral lists this ribosomal RNA (314 nucleotides) under uncultured bacterium. RNAcentral's name for it is "bacterial SSU rRNA". It matches the Rfam family "Bacterial small subunit ribosomal RNA", at positions 28 to 334 of the family's 1533-position model. The record is from RNAcentral.